GUAACACUAUAAUAAUGGGAUUAAACACUGCAGGACACAGAAUAUAAGUAUUUUCACUGCCUUUUACAGCCUCCCAGCUAUCAGAAGAUGUUGCAAAAGAAACCCUGCAGGAAUAUCCUCAGAUAAGUAAUGCUAUGGCACUUCCCCAGCAUGAAAUCUGGAAGGCAAGGAGCUCAGGCCCUUUAAUACCUAUAGGACCUGUGAUCAUUGUAAAGGGACAAUCACAUGCGGAGAGUGCUCUGGAUCUGGCAUGAUGCAGUGCACAUUCUUCAAUAGGCACUUUCCAUUGGCAUCACAACUGGCUAAGUAUUUUGAACAGCACACGUUUCUUAUUUUUUUAAAAAUUAGAAAGUUAGUAGUUGGGGAGCACCGCCCAUCAAACACAGGGGAUGGUGUGCAGGGUCAAAUAAUAAUUAUAAUGGAAA
This is a long non-coding RNA of Xenopus laevis (African clawed frog), 425 nucleotides long. RefSeq lists it as uncharacterized. The transcript has 3 exons. NCBI's taxonomy places the organism in Eukaryota, Metazoa, Chordata, Amphibia, Anura, Pipidae. The record is from RefSeq and is a predicted model, not a curated record.